This 523-nucleotide ribosomal RNA is filed under the name uncultured bacterium. RNAcentral's name for it is "partial 16S ribosomal RNA". It matches the Rfam family "Bacterial small subunit ribosomal RNA", at positions 28 to 523 of the family's 1533-position model. The record is from RNAcentral.
GACGAACGCUGGCGGCGUGCUUAACACAUGCAAGUCGAACGGACAGACAGAGAGCUUGCUCUCUUGAAGUUAGUGGCGAACGGGUGAGUACGCGUAAUCAACCUGCCCUUCAGAGGGGGAUAACAACGGGAAACCGUUGCUAAUACCGCGUACGAUUCAUGAACGGCAUCGUUUAUGAAUGAAAGGUGGCCUCUAUGUAUAAGCUAUCGCUGAAGGAGGGGAUUGCGUCUGAUUAGCUAGUUGGAGGGGUAACGGCCCACCAAGGGAAUGAUCAGGAGCCGGUCUGAGAGGAUGAACGGCCACAUUGGGACUGAGACACGGCCCAAACUCCUACGGGAGGCAGCAGUGGGGAAUCUUCCGCAAUGGACGAAAGUCUGACGGAGCAACGCCGCGUGAGUGAUGAAGGUCUUCGGAUUGUAAAGCUCUGUUAAUCGGGACGAAAGAGUUCUGCGUGAAUAAUGCAGAAAAGUGACGGUACCGGAAUAGAAAGCCACGGCUAACUACGCGCCAGCCGCCGCAGUAA